CACGGACACCUUCAUACUAGGCUCCGUCUGUUAUGUCCAGUGUUGGGUAACUGAAGUGUAACGUGAUUGGUGUCAUGUGCAGGUGUGCUGGAUCACGUACAAACCAAUAGGGUGUCGGAAUGGUAUCUGUUUAUACUUCUCCUCCUACCACAAUCAAAUUCAGUAUAUCUGGAUGGCACUAUUUAUCCUGAUAGGUUUUUUGAAUGAUGACAAGGCGGAAUGAAAACAAGCCGAAAUUAAAUAUUAGUAACGAGACUAUUUUAAAAUGUAAGGAGUAGAAAGUACAGAUAAUUGCAUGACAAUGUAAGGAAUAGAAGUAAAAAGUCUGCUAAAAUAUAAUUACUCCAUUAAAGUAUAGAUACUCAAAAUUUCUACUUAAGUAAAGUAACAAAGUAUUUGUACUUCUUUACUUGACACCUCUGGUGUCUACUACACACUACUGUAACACACAAUGUAGUGCAGGAUAUUUCAAUAAGAGUCAACAUUUAUUUCUAUAUGAUUCUAGAUUUAAAGAUUCAUUUUCUCAUCAUCUGUAAAGUUUCAACACAAACCAGUCUCCUGUUCUACGACAACCUGAUGAAAUGUAGACUGAUGUUCAGUCAUCUGGCCACUAGAUGGUGCUGUAAUGGAACUGUAUACAUGCUGAUCUGUUACUGUGAUGAAGAGAAGAUGGACUGAGGAUUAAACAAUCUUUAAGAUGAACUAAUUGACAUUUUUUUUCUGUAUUCCCAAAAUACUUGACCAGUCUGAUCUCCUCCUCUGAUCUCUCCCAUCAACAAGAUGUUUCAGACUGCAGACCCUCUGAUUACAGGAUGGUUUUGUUUUUCACACCAUUCUGUAAAAACUCUAGAGAUGUUUGUGUGUGAAAAUCCCAGGAGAUCAGCAGUUUCUGAAAAACCCAAACCAGCCCAUCUGAUACCAACAACCAUUUACUGUUAAAGUCACAGACAUCAGACUUUUACUCCAUUCUGGUGUUCGCUGAGAACUUUAACUGAAGCUCUUCAUCUAAAUCUGCAUGAUUAUAUACACUGUGCUGCUGCCACAUGAUUGGCUGAUUGGAUAACUGGAUGAAUGUGCAGGUGAACACAGGUGAAGGGUCCUGAUAAAGUGGUGUAUAUCAUUUCAUCCAUACCUGGAAAAUGUCCCCCAACCAACCCAGAUAAAUAAAAGCAGUUAAAGCAGUGAAACUGAGAGAGAGAGAGAGAGAGAGAGAGAGAGAGAGAGAGAGAGAGAGAGAGAGAGAGAUAGAGAGAGAGAUCAGUGAAGUGAGAGAGAGAUUUACAUGAAGACAGAUGAGUGAUCCUCUUUAUCUCAGAAUAGAACAGAACUUUCACCAGAUGUUCAACUUUUUUCUGCUUAUUAAGAGUCCAGACUGGAAACAUCAACGUCUUCAAUAAUCAGUACAGUGAUACACUCAUGGUACAAAAACCUGUUACACUACAGUGACCACACACACACACACACACACACACACACACACACACACACACACACACACACACACGUUUCCAUAGCGCGAGGUUCCACUUUGCAUUAUCAGCUCAUGCUUCAGUGCCCUGUGAGUGUUUAUAGCCCUGUGACUUUAACACUUCAUGACUGAGAGCUGCUGCUCAGCGACUUCACCCACAGAAACCAUGAGUUUGAUCAGCAUCUUCAUCUGCACACUGCUCCUCUGUGCUCAAGGAUCCCAGAGUCAGGCCAUUGUGACUCAGAGUCCUGCAGUGAAAUCUGUUUCUCCAGGAGACACAAUCACAAUCAGCUGUAAAACCAAUGUUGCUGUUGAUAAUGACUGUGGCAGUAGUUAUGACUGUUUGUACUGGUUUCAGCAGAAACAUGGAGAAGCUCCUAAAAACCUGAUCUAUUGGGCUAGUACUAGAGCAUCAAGUAUUCCAGAUCGAUUCAGUGGCAGUGGAUCUGCUGCAGCUGCAGGUGCUGAGGAGGACGAUGUGAUGCAGCACAAUGACACGGUUUAACAAACACAAUACACUUACUCAGUAGUCAAGUCCAGCUUUCUCACCUCUGAGCUUCAUUUACAUAUUUAACAGAGCUGACAUGAGGCCAAAACCCUGAUCAGAGGUCAGUAGUUGGUCAUUUACCACUUUAACCAGUGUGGUGUUAGAGUGUGGUGAGGAAUAAAUCAGAAGAUGUUAUGUGUCUUACUCUGAUACAGAUCUGCACCUAGAUGUUCAGCUAACACUUUUUUACAUCAGACCGGAGUUUGAAAGCUGAUACUACACUUCAUAGCACAUGACCUGGUAAUCCAGCUGUGAAUUAAAACACCUUCACAACACUCCAUUCCCUGUCGUCCCUUUGAUGAUGUCAGAGCAGUGUAUCAUAUACUGUGACAUGAAUACCUGCAAUUAUCCUGUACAACCUCUACCAUGAGUCCGUCUGUUCAAAUCCCACAGCAAAACUCAGUCAC
Molecule: non-coding RNA, 2422 nt
Organism: Tachysurus fulvidraco (yellow catfish)
Lineage: Eukaryota; Metazoa; Chordata; Actinopteri; Siluriformes; Bagridae
Source: the annotation of a RefSeq genome assembly